This 966-nucleotide ribosomal RNA is filed under the name Bacillus amyloliquefaciens. Its description in RNAcentral is "bacterial SSU rRNA". It matches the Rfam family "Bacterial small subunit ribosomal RNA", at positions 537 to 1501 of the family's 1533-position model. The record is from RNAcentral. Lineage: Bacteria; Bacillati; Bacillota; Bacilli; Caryophanales; Bacillaceae.
GACGUUGAUCGGACUAUUGAGGCGUAAGGGCUCGCAGGCGGUUUCUUAAGUCUGAUGUGAAAGCCCCCGGCUCAACCGGGGAGGGUCAUUGGAAACUGGGGAACUUGAGUGCAGAAGAGGAGAGUGGAAUUCCACGUGUAGCGGUGAAAUGCGUAGAGAUGUGGAGGAACACCAGUGGCGAAGGCGACUCUCUGGUCUGUAACUGACGCUGAGGAGCGAAAGCGUGGGGAGCGAACAGGAUUAGAUACCCUGGUAGUCCACGCCGUAAACGAUGAGUGCUAAGUGUUAGGGGGUUUCCGCCCCUUAGUGCUGCAGCUAACGCAUUAAGCACUCCGCCUGGGGAGUACGGUCGCAAGACUGAAACUCAAAGGAAUUGACGGGGGCCCGCACAAGCGGUGGAGCAUGUGGUUUAAUUCGAAGCAACGCGAAGAACCUUACCAGGUCUUGACAUCCUCUGACAAUCCUAGAGAUAGGACGUCCCCUUCGGGGGCAGAGUGACAGGUGGUGCAUGGUUGUCGUCAGCUCGUGUCGUGAGAUGUUGGGUUAAGUCCCGCAACGAGCGCAACCCUUGAUCUUAGUUGCCAGCAUUCAGUUGGGCACUCUAAGGUGACUGCCGGUGACAAACCGGAGGAAGGUGGGGAUGACGUCAAAUCAUCAUGCCCCUUAUGACCUGGGCUACACACGUGCUACAAUGGACAGAACAAAGGGCAGCGAAACCGCGAGGUUAAGCCAAUCCCACAAAUCUGUUCUCAGUUCGGAUCGCAGUCUGCAACUCGACUGCGUGAAGCUGGAAUCGCUAGUAAUCGCGGAUCAGCAUGCCCGGGGGAAAUACCUUUCCCGGGGCCUUGUACACACCGCCCGUCACACCACGAGAGUUUGUAACACCCGAAGUCGGUGAGGUAACCUUUUAGGAGCCAGCCGCCGAAGGUGGGACAGAUGAUUGGGUGAGCUAAAAGAAAGACCCUA